AUGCUGCCUAGAGGGACUGGUGGCUUUAGACGAUCCACCAAUCUCUACUGCUCGACACAUGAGAUCCUGGGGCCAAAAGUCUGGAGGUUUCAGGAUAAGGCAGGCACGAGUCAGGAUAAGAAAAGCAGAGAUAGGAGGGGAAAGUCUGGGGAUUGGGACAGCUCUGAAAGGGCAAAAGGGUGAGAGAAGAACGUUUGCAAGCGACAGGUGAAAUGAGCACUCUGGGAUUUGACUUUCGACAGCUCCAAGGCGCCCUCCCCCCACCCACGAGACAGCAAAGAUGGCGCCAGGCCCGCGCAGCUGGAGGUCACCGGCACGCGGAAGGCGCAGCCCUGACGCGCGGGGAUACGGGGGCAAGGGAGGGCGUGAGGACCCAGGUGGCAGUACGCAAGUGUAAGAGGCAGCAGUGUUAUUCAUAACUGGAGCAUCCUUUUCUGAGACAUUAUAUAUGAAGACCUUGAUGACUUCUUGAAUGUCUUGGUUCAUGGCUGCAGCUAAUAGAGCUACAGAAGGAGCCCUGAACCCAAUUUCUUCCUGUGACUCCAUCCCUCAACUCCUAGCGAUCUCCGGGACCUCAUUUCUGCCUAGCAACAUCACAACCAAUCAAGAUGCAAUUAGGCCUGGCAGUUCGGCUCAUCCUUCACUGGGAUUGGCUGCUGGCGGUGAGCGCAUCCUAAGUUUUCAUUGGCUGACGGCCACCUGUAUGGAAAUGAGAAUGACAGGGGACUCUCAGAGCCUUUUCUGCGACGUGGACCUGUGGCUUACUGCACUGAAACCUGCAAGCUCAGAGCCAGAACCCCUGGGCUUUUUUUCUGCCUUCUCUCCCUGUUCUUCACCCAAAGAGAUAUCUCUAACUUUUCCCUCAGCGCCUCUGUCUGAGGCCCAGUCGGAAAGAAAUUCGCAAAAAAUAAG
RNAcentral lists this long non-coding RNA (912 nucleotides) under Moschus moschiferus (Siberian musk deer). RNAcentral's name for it is "lncRNA (ENSMMSG00000006979.1)". Lineage: Eukaryota; Metazoa; Chordata; Mammalia; Artiodactyla; Moschidae. The record is from RNAcentral.